GCGCAUGUAGCUCAACGGGACAGAGCAGGGAAUUUCUACUUCCACGGUUGAGGGUUCGAGUCCUUCCGUGCGCACCA
This 77-nucleotide transfer RNA is filed under the name Streptomyces aqsuensis. RNAcentral's name for it is "tRNA-Arg". It matches the Rfam family "tRNA". From Rfam's summary of the family: Transfer RNA (tRNA) molecules are approximately 80 nucleotides in length. RNAcentral also lists the same sequence under 1 other name. The record is from RNAcentral. Lineage: Bacteria; Bacillati; Actinomycetota; Actinomycetes; Kitasatosporales; Streptomycetaceae.